GUUCAUAAAAGUGCAAGUUGUGGUGAGCCGACAGAAUAUGCAUCAGACUCACAAGAGAAGAUGAGGUGUGUUUCUGUGACUCUUCUGCUGUGCCUGGCUACGAUGCUGCUCGAUCAAGUCACCUGCCAAUUAAGUGGCGUGUCAAAUUGCCCUUGUCUCAAGACAACAGAUCGGGUUUACCGCAAGGAAGAGAUGGAAGAUUAUAUUAAACAAGAAGCAGGCAUCUGCCCAAUUGAUGCUGUUUUAUUUAAAUCAAUCAAUGGUCUUUUUAUUUGUGGCAAUCCACAAAAGCUUUGGGUGAAAAGAGCUGUGGAGUUUUUGGAUAAGAAGAAGAUGCCGGCAGUUAAAACAACAGUGCGUCCCUUAAACUCCACAC
Molecule: long non-coding RNA, 376 nt
Organism: Carassius carassius (crucian carp)
Lineage: Eukaryota; Metazoa; Chordata; Actinopteri; Cypriniformes; Cyprinidae
Exons: 3
Source: RefSeq, a predicted model, not a curated record